Molecule: long non-coding RNA, 1891 nt
Organism: Ictalurus furcatus (blue catfish)
Lineage: Eukaryota; Metazoa; Chordata; Actinopteri; Siluriformes; Ictaluridae
Exons: 2
Source: RefSeq, a predicted model, not a curated record
GACUUUUUUUUUUAUUGUCGUCUCUUUCAAACAAACUUGUUUAACGGUGACUCGUUUUGAAUAGUUUCAGUCAGGUUUCCAUGAAUGAUACACUUAAAGAAGUGAAAUAAUAGAGUGACACGCCAGUGUGGUGUUUGUCUGCAGGACUCGGUGUCGGUUAAACGCAGUGAUGGAUAAAAUCAGUGAGUGGGGACGGGGAAAUGCCCCUCUACAAGCACAAAUCAACACUACUCCCUUGCCACCAGAAGCAAAUAUACAAAAAAACAAAAAAAAAAACCCCCCAAAUGUACAGCGUGCCACAGUCUGGUUUCUCUUCAGGGAUGACGGAAGCAUGUUGGUGUGACCUUGUAAGUUAUGAUUUAGUUAUAUUUGUUUGGUAUUUCCAUUACAGUUUAGGCAAACCACUAGAUGGAGAUGGUGGGAGAUUUUUGACCGAGUCUCUUUAUAAUCGCAGGUUUGAAAGUAUGGGUUCAAACACUUGGUUUUAUUUACAUGUCUCUUAAAUGAGUUAGAUAGACUUUAAAGCAGUUUUGCUAGAUGUUUAUUGCUUUGACUAGUUCAUGACUGCAUGCAGUAAUCACACAAUCACUUUUAUUUAUAUACAGGGCUCAUUUAAAAUACCGAGAUUUGUUUGUUUGGUUAUUACAAACAAACCAAAAAAAACCCCCCCAUCAGAUUCAAUUUAACUCUAGUGUCAUUGCGACAAAGAUGAAGAAAUGCGGUUUGCAUUUAAUGAGGAAAAAGCGUUAUGUGCAAGAAAGAGACUAAAUAAGGUAGGAUGUCUGUUUAUUGACCAGUAACACAUCAACAGCGUCUCUUAACCCUCGUGCGUCCUUAUGGAAAUUUGUCUUUCAUUAUUAUUAUUAUUUUUUACGUCAUUUUGUCUUUGUUAAUGCAAACAGCAUAAAUUUAGCAAAAGGUGCGUGUUUUUAUUGGCAUUUUAAUAUUUCGCCAUCAUUUGCUUUCGUAAAUAUAUUUUAAAGUACACUCAGGACCUUAAGGAUAAAAAUGUCCCCAUUGAAACCCAUUCAAACCGCAAUAUUCAAUCAUAAAAUCAUGCAUUGUGUAUUAAUAGAUUUUUAUUUUGUUGACUAGGUUUCAAAACAUUUGAAUUUUUUUAGAAAUAAUUCUGAAAUGUGUCGUAUUUUCUCAGGUUUAGCCUCUGGGGGAAAUCCAUGCUUUUCCUUUUUUUCUGAUUCUGUUGUAUUAAAGAGUGCCGCGGACUGACUGAAUAAACGAUGCAGCUAUAAUUGUGUGUGUGUGUGGAUGGAUGGAUGGAUAUCAAAGUUGUGGUUUGUAUGUGUGUACUGAAAAUUUCGUGUGUGUGUGAAUAGUUUGAGAGAAAGAAGUGAUAUUGUACUGGAAAUCACAAAAUCCCACCCCAUGUAUACAAGACAAAGAAGGUUCCUGAGCUUUGAAGAUUUUUGCAUUAUGUAAAGAAACUGGCGUUUAAAGGGUUAAAAUUCUGACCAUGAAUGGAUGUUUGAUAAUUGUGAUCAGAACUGAUGCUGGUAAAAAAAAAAAAAAAAAAAAAAAAAGAAAGAAAAGAAAUGAAUACAUAAUAUUUCUGACAGUUUUUUGACAUGGACAUUUUUGCCUUUAUGGACCUGAGUGGUUUUUUUUUUUUUUUAAUCUGGCACUGCAUAAAAUUAUGAAUGCAUCAAAAUGAAUAAUGUUAAUCACUGACUCCUCAAAGACUGUAAUAAUGAAAGUAAAAAUUUCUGCGUAGCAUUUAGUAUAUAGAAAAUAAUUACUCAACAUCAGUGAAAGUGGAAAAAAAAUUAAUGUAUAAUGUUUUUAUGACAGUUUUUGAACAUGGAAGUUUUUGUCCUGUAUGGACCUAUAUGUAAUUAUUUUUUUUUUCGUUGACGCAUUAAAUGUGUUAAAUGUG